Molecule: long non-coding RNA, 788 nt
Organism: Leptidea sinapis
Lineage: Eukaryota; Metazoa; Arthropoda; Insecta; Lepidoptera; Pieridae
Exons: 2
Source: RefSeq, a predicted model, not a curated record
UGUAUUUGCACAAAGGCUUGAAAUUAUGUACAUCACUUAACAAUUUUUCAAGCGGCGGCGGGCGGGAAGAAAGAUCAUAAUCAUUGACUUCACUCAACUCACUUGCAAGCACUAAUCUGUCAAUUAAAACCUUUGACAAUCGAAAAUCAGGUGUUUCAUGUCUGCGUUGCUACAUCCACAGUGCGAACAUUCACUAUUUCGAAUAAUGCCAAGUCUUGCUAGGUGUGACGGUGCAGUAUUAUGGCCAAAACGCAAUCUAUUAAUGGUGGUAUAUUGUUUUUCUACUUCCAGGAAAAUAUUGUACAAAUUUGGGGGAUAUCCAUUCAACAGUGCAAAUCCUGUGGUUAAAGGCCCAGAAACAUUAAUACGGUCUGUAAUCAGUGAUAUGAAACUGUCAAUGCAACUACACCCACGACGGAAGCCAUAUUGUACAUUGGGAAUGAUACCAUUAGCGUCAACAAACCAAUCAAGACGAGCUUUAAUCAUGUUUUUAAACAGUUUGCCAAAACAUGAGGAUAAAGAAAUUGGACAGUAGGAGCUAGCUAAAUCAGGAGAUUUAUCUGGCUUAAGUAUGGGAAUAACACAUUGUGUUUUCCAUGAGUUGGGUAUUAAUUUCUUGUCCCAUAAAGCAUUAAGAAUAUUUAAAAACACUGCCUGCACUGAUUCAUGUAGUUUUUUAAUCAAAAUAUAUGGGUAAUCAUCUAAGCCGGGAGUAGAAUUGCGCCUAGAUCUCAAACUCAUUGUAAAUUCGGUCCAUGUAAAGUUAUCUAAUAAAUUUUUUGAAUUUC